Molecule: long non-coding RNA, 1698 nt
Organism: Ctenopharyngodon idella (grass carp)
Lineage: Eukaryota; Metazoa; Chordata; Actinopteri; Cypriniformes; Xenocyprididae
Exons: 2
Source: RefSeq, a predicted model, not a curated record
UUUAAGCCUGUCGUUAACCAGCUCUCCCUUAUAAACCCUAGUGAUUGUGCAAACAAAACAGAAGACCGCAGGAACUAUUGCUCAGUCAACACAUGCUUGAUUCAGUGCCCAGAUCAACACGUGUCUCCACUGUUUGGCCACAUAACUCUAACCCAAAACCAUAAGAUGAUAGUGAUACUAUAGUACUAUUACAUACACCACAGGAGUGAAUGAUAACCAUAUUCAUCUAUCAUGGCAACUACAGUAAAGCACUACAAAGAGUACUAUGGUAAUAUCAUUGUACUAAAAUAUGUGGUGUAUAAAGCCUCAUCACAGUAAACAGAGUCUACACUGUGCAGUAUUACUCACACUUAUAUAAGACAUGCAUGGUACAUCUGGAUUGGUCAAGCAGCUUGGUCAUUUGCAUGGACCACACCCUGUAGACUUUUUAAGUCGUGGAGUGUCUGUUCUUUUCAUACCAAACAACUGGAUUGAAAGUGUACAGGCAGCUGCGAUCGCUCUGUAUCAACUCAUAACUUUUACAGGAAGCCACAGGACAUCGCAAAGCCUAAACAAUGGCAACUUGGUCAAACGUAGACAGGGAAGUGAAUGAAGAGUGGUGGGAGAAAGCAUACAAGUUGUUUCUUGAAAGUGAACCAAUAGAAACGAUUCUCGAGCAUUCUGCCUAUUAUAUGACAGGAAAUAACUGGAAUGAUUAUGGAUUCAGCUGUGACACACAUGUUCCUCUUACUGGGACAGUCCAUGAGGUUACUAAAAGAGCAAUUUUGGUGGUGAUUUCAAGAAGAAGGAGAAUGGAUUGGAAUAAUUGGAAGAGCAUACAUGAGCCAUCUUCUAAAUCUGAUGUACAGGAUCUGAACGAAAAUCACAAGAAAUUAAUAAACUGUGUUACUGACCUGAUCUAUAAAGAGGACGGCAGCCCAAGACCAUUUAAUAAAUAGGCUGAACACUACUGAUUGAUAGUGUGAGUCUGAAAUAAAUGUUAUUUGCAUCACUAAAAUGCUUUGUCUCUGUUGCAUGUGCUCUGUUAAAUUUACUUGUCUUUUACAAACAAUUUUCCUUUUAUUUUGAUUUAUAUUAUAUCCAUCAGUUAAUCAUUUUUAAUCAUUCAAUUUUACUUUAUUUUACCAUACUAUAUUUAAUAGUUUUUUGACCAUUUAAUCAAUUUACUUCAUUAAAAUCAUCAGUGCUCAAAGUGUGUUGGUCUGCAGUAUAGACCAUUUAAUAGAUAGGCUGAGCAAUAUUGAUUGAUAAUGUCAGUCUAAACAUUCAUUUUGCACCACUAUCAUGGUAUGUAGGGUUACUCUGUUGCAUGUUAAAAUUUUAUUUAGUUGGCAUAUUUACGUAGCUUUUACAUACAGUAUAUUUGGCUUUCAUGUUGUUAUAUGGUAAUUGCUGUAUACUAUGGUACUUUAAACUAUACCAAAGUACUGAAUGGUAGCAAUAUCUAUCAACUACAGUACCACGGUAAUACCCAAAAGGUUUAUUCAUAAACCCCGGGUUAAUGUUAAUGUUUCUGGUGUCAGUAUCAUCAAUUGAGUGAAUCUGUGCAAUCACACAUGAUCUGUUUAAAUAUUGUCUUGUCUUGCACUUGUGGAUUAGCUGGGCUUCUAUAUUUCUGAUGGUAAUUACAUCCAAUUUGCCUCGAAUAGACAUUUAGACCAUAACUGUACAAAUAAAAAGGUUUCUUCAUCAGUCCAA